GGGGGCGUGGCGGAACUGGCAGACGCAGGGGACUUAAAAUCCUCCGCCGCGAGGCUUGUGGGUUCGAGUCCCACCGCCCCUACCA
RNAcentral lists this transfer RNA (85 nucleotides) under Actinomycetota bacterium. Its description in RNAcentral is "tRNA-Leu". It matches the Rfam family "tRNA". From Rfam's summary of the family: Transfer RNA (tRNA) molecules are approximately 80 nucleotides in length. The record is from RNAcentral. Lineage: Bacteria; Bacillati; Actinomycetota.